RNAcentral lists this long non-coding RNA (675 nucleotides) under Cavia porcellus (domestic guinea pig). Its description in RNAcentral is "lncRNA (ENSCPOG00000030956.1)". The record is from RNAcentral. Lineage: Eukaryota; Metazoa; Chordata; Mammalia; Rodentia; Caviidae.
UGUCUCUGCCGUAACUUUUCCUCUUUGACUUCGUCUCUUGCCUUGGUCACUGGCGACCGACAUUUUCAGUUUGGACCCAUUCCCAUCCCCUGGCUAGAUUCUCCAUCGAUAGUUCCUCUUUAAUUAUCCCAUCUUCUCCAUGAUGUAGCAGUGCUCUCAAUACACACCCUGGUCCGGCAUCCUCUGUGGCUGAGUGCUUUCAAUCUUUAACCCAUGGGUACUUAACAUAUUCUGCUUCUGAGUCCAGGAUGAGAAGGAGCUUAGCUCCCAGCCAGUUGGCCAAGAGAAAAUCAGAGGGUAGGUCCUCUGAUGAUGAAGAUUGGCAGCCUGAGACAAUGACUCCUAAGAAACGGAAAUCCAGCAGUGAGACUCCGAUCCAAGAGUGUUUCCUAUCUCCUUUUCGGAAACCUUUGACUCAGCUAACCAAUCGACCACCCUGUUUGGAUAGCAGUCAACAUGUAAGUCAGCAUUUCAACUUGCCCAUGUAUGUCUGUGCCAGGUCCUUUUGGCUUAGUAGACUAUUGUUUCUGUUCUUACCCAGCAGACAGUAUAUCUUCACAGAAUGCCAGCCUGUCCACAGCUGGCCUCAGUUGGCUCAGAUUUCCAAGAUAAAGGAGCAGGCGUCUCAUGGCAACUGUCUUUGACUCUGCUUACUGCUUUUGUUUUUGUUUUCUG